AGCAUUGGCUGUGAUGACUACUUAGGCUCCGACAAAGUCGUGGACAAAUGUGGGGUGUGUGGAGGAGACAACACGGGCUGUCAGGUUGUGUCGGGAGUGUUUAAGCAUGCCCUCACCAGCCUGGGCUACCACCGCGUCGUGGAGAUUCCCGAGGGAGCCACGAAAAUCAACAUCACGGAGAUGUACAAGAGCAACAACUAUUUGGCCUUGCGAAGUCGUUCUGGACGCUCCAUCAUCAAUGGGAACUGGGCAAUUGAUCGACCAGGAAAAUACGAGGGCGGAGGGACCAUGUUCACCUACAAGCGUCCAAAUGAGAUUUCAAGCACUGCCGGAGAGUCCUUUUUGGCGGAAGGUCCCACCAACGAGAUCUUGGAUGUCUACGUGAGUUUGGAUGUUUCUGGACUGUUCUUUGGAUUUUGAAUCUUGUUACUUCUAAGGAACAUACUCUGAACAAAUACGCAACAAAUCAUUGCCCAUACUCAAGAAAAACCCUUUGAGCAGAGCCUGUUGGAGGCACUCCUUGAAUGCUUGGCGUUCAUCUUUGCCUUUACUUCUGAAUGGGCCCAGCUCACAGCAACCGCCAACUCCACCAGAUGCUUAUUACCUUCGGAGUUUAUUGACCCAGUAAAACCAAUUUUACUUGUUGAACCAAAUCAGAGGCAAAACAUGCCCUUUAUUUCAUGAGCAUUGGAUCUCCUCCAGGCACUUUCCUUAUAAUGCUAAUUUGGCAUGUUUUCUUUUUAUGGCAAAAGAAAGCAAGAGCCUAAAGGAAGGCAGGACUGCUCCCAGCUCCCAGCCCUGUUCAAACUCUGAGAGCAAAUGAAGAAAGGAGAGCUCCAGAGCCCUCCAGAUGAAACAAUAAAGCUGAGAGUCACAGUAGAGAGAUUUACUAGAAGCUCCCUGCUUCAUAGAAGACAAAACCUUAAUUUCUUUUACGUGAAACUAAGAUAUUAAAUUGCUCAAGAGUUUUAAAUGGUCCUUACGUUCAAAGGAAACCACUAGAAUUCAAUCUUCUUAAAAGACCAGGAAAUAAAGGGUGAUAAGGCAUAAAAGCUUGAAAUAACAUUUUGAUAAAAAGAUUGAGAUCACCCAUGAAUAUACACACAUUAUUUCUGUCCCCAAAGCUGAGCUGAUUAACAUAUUUGCUGUGUCAGAGUUUUAGAAAUAUUAUUAAUUGCAUUGUCAUUACUUCUCCACCUACACACAGUUCUAUGUCCUUUCCUCUUGGGCCUAGUGGACUCGAAAUUACAAAGGAAGCCUUGUUGUAGUUUAUUUUGGAUUUUUUUUAGACUGUCCAGUUGGUUGGUUGAAUCUGAAUAUAUUUUAAAUGGCAUCAGAGGUAAAAACUCAGGUUGUUAAAGGUCUACUGCGGUUGGUCUAGGAAUGGAAGCCAACAGCAAUUUCAUAAACGGGACAAGGUUUUGCACUGGCAGAAUGCUCAGGCAGAAGAGGCACCAUAGAGGGAGGGAGGAUUUCCAGCCACAGACCGAGAGGAAGAUUGUGUGAAAAGGGAGCGAGGGGAUGAGGGAUACACAGCAGGAACCUGAGGUCACACAACCGUGUCCCUCGGGGAUUCAGUGCCCACCACGUUUCUGCAACGCCGAUGGUUUGAUAUUGGUUCCUGGGUAGGAGAAUCCCAGGGGUUCUCAGGUCUGCCUUCCUUUGGGUAAUUUAUAAAAUGAAGACCCAUUUCAUCAGUAGGGAGUGGCAAGAGAUCAUGGCAUAAACAGGAAGAAUAGACAUAGGACCCACCAUGCAGGAGUGACUCAGAGAUGCUUCUAGCUGGAAAGGACCUUUGAAAGUCACAUGAUUCUAACCUCUUCCUUCCCCAAGGAAGAAAUCAAAAACUGCAGGGUGAAGGGGCUUGCUCUAGGUUACACAGCUGGUCAAUAGGAGAGCUGCUUUAUAAAGCAGCAGAGACAGAAACAUCAAACCCGACCGUGUCUCCUUGCACGGCUCAUAUUUACACUGUGGAUUCUCAUUCUGCUGCUGGGUUUAGCCCACCACCCUGCUCCCCAUCAGGAAAGCCAUGGGCAGCAAAGACUGUGUGCUCUAAAUCCAAUAGGGAGGGACGUAUUCUGUUGGGCCAUGCUCAUUUAAUAUGUUUUCAGCCCAGACAAUGUUCAGCUGCUGACUUCCACAGUCCUACGUAGAUUCCUGCUUGCCAUCCUAUUUUUGUCAUCAUUCCUAAGAGAAUAUGACCCAGCAAGAGUUGGGUCCCUUCUACUUGUUUUCCUGGCCCCAUGUCUUUGUGUUUCUGGGGCUUUCCCUGAAUAAGAGGGAGAGACCUGGGGGCCAGCCUCACCAGCCAGGUCAAGAACUUUGAGGGAACCUAAAGCGUCCCGGGGUGGCUCUGUCCAGGAGGUCUGCUGCUUGUUCGCAUGACUUUAUCACGCCACCUGGUGUUAAAACAGUUCUCCUGCCGUGUACACGUAUUUAUCUGUGUUGGAUGUUUCGAGAGCACUGAGCAAAAUCUAAGGACAGAAAGGUUCUGCUACCGUUGCUCCAUCUUCUCCUUUGGAGUUUAGAAAAUCUUGACUCUUAGCUUAGUUUUCUUCUGAUUUGCUCGGCCUAAGUUCUUCAUUCUUCAAAAGUAAAUGACAAAAAGCCAUCCAGAAAUAACUUUGUUUAAUCUGCCACAGGUUCACUGAUAUUACUGGAUGCGUACUAGAGUGAACCAACCCAGUCAUUUCUCAGUAGUUCUGCAAAUGCCAUUGAAACCCAGAAGGGGUGUGCAUACGUGCCCAGUGCAGUAACACUGAUUUUUGUGUCAGCAGAUGAUACACCAGCAGCCAAACCCAGGCGUGCACUACGAGUACGUGAUCAUGGGGACCAACGCCAUCAGCCCCCAGGUGCCACCCCACAGGAGACCAGGUAGAAUCCCUUGUCUUGUGGCCGGGGACUCUGAUCAUUUCCUUGUAAAGCCUUCUCUCUCUCAAUUCUUGUGCAUCCACCCUCUGUCUCUCGGUCAACACAGAGAAAAUUGAGGGACGCGUAUUUCAAAGCCAAGGGGCCUUGACAUUGGAGCAGGCUUCACCAUUUGUCUGAGCCUUCACUGAUGAGACUGUUUCAUUCACUCGAUUCCAAAAUGGCAUGAGCAUCCUGGGUCUGCCCUGCCAGUUCAACAUUUGAAAUGCUUUGUACUAGUUUCCAGGCCAGACAAGGGGGCUCAUGCCUGUAAUCCUAGCACUUUGGGAGGCCCACGCAGGUGGAUCGCUUGGGCCCAGAGGUUCAAGACCAGCCUGUGCAACAUAAUGAAACCCCUGUCUCUACAAAAAAAAUUACAGAAAUUAGCCAGGCAUGGUGGUGUGUGCCUGCAAUCCCAGCUACUCAGGAGGCUGAGGUGGGAGAAUCAUCUGAGCCCAAGGAGGUUGGGGCUGCAGUGAGCCGUGAUCAGACCACUGAACUCCAGCCUGGACAACAGAGUGAGACCCUAUCUCAAAAUUAAGAAAAAACAACACAAAUUUACUCUCUUAGAGUUCUGGAGGUUAGAAGUCUGAAGUGGGUUUCAUUGGGACAAAAUGAAGGUGUCAUCAGGGCCACUCUCUCUCCAGAGGCUCUAGGAGAGAACCCACUUCCUUGCCUUUUCCAACUUCUAGGAGCCACCUGCCUUCCUUGGUUCCUGGCCCCUUCCUCCACCUUCAAAGCCAGCAGGGUGGCACUUUCAAAUCUCUCUCUGACCCUGGCCUCAUCACAUCUCCUCUCUGACUCUCAUCUUCCUCUCUCUUUCCUUUAUAAGGACCCUUCAGAUUACACUGGGCCCACCCAAGUAAUCCAGGAUAAUCUCUCCUUCUCAAAAUCUGUAAUUUAGUCUCACCUGCAAAGUCCAUUUUUGCUAUGUAAGGUAGCAUGUUCACAGAUUCCAGGGAUUAGGAUGUGGACAUCUUUAGGGGGCCAUUAUCUGUCUACUAUAUGCCUUUUCUCUUGGUUCCCCUUUUGUUUUUUGUUAAUAAUACUUUGACCUAUAAGACAAGAAUAAUGAGUUCACACCUAACAAUCCAUGUUGAGUCUUCCUGGUGGGCUCUGCUUGUGGACAGAGCAGGCAGCUUUCUCUCGGCUGACACUGGGCAUGGGACUGCUCUCUGAGUCUGCAGACAUUUCUCUACCGGAGGAUGAUGGAGCCCGCCACCCAAAUGCAGACAGUCUUUUCCUUCCUUAAAAUAGGAAGGUCUGCAGAAGUAUUCAUGGUAAUUAUAGCUCACACACACUGAGUCCUUGCUGUGUGCAAGGGCUUGGAAACUGCUGUGCUGAGCUCUUUGCGUAGAUUAGUUCUUUGAAUUCUCAUGACAGACGGAGGUACUUGGAGGGAAGUACUAUUACGAGCCUUAUUUUCCGAGUAAGGAAACGGAAGCUUAGCAAGAAUAAGUUAAUAAUUGUCCUGAUCUCACACCUGGGCAGUGACCUGAGGAGGGCCUGUGACCAUACUUUGUGCUUGUUAUAUCGCUGAGAGGUUACUUGGUCCAAUCCCUACCCUAGGAGGAAAUAAAGGCACAAGUGCCAAACCCGCCCCAUCCAUUCUUCUCUGAACUUUGGACGGGAUAACCAGGUUAUCUGAUUGCUACACACUGGGGAGGACAACAGCUGGGUGCGUCCCCAGAACAUGGGGUGGGUGUGUUGUCCGAACUCCAAGUCAGCAAACUCAGCGCAACAGAGAAUUUUUAUGUCAUGUCCAGAAGCAAUCCACAGUUUGAGAAACCAAGUUUGGGUAAGAUUUCUGGGGUCCGUUGCUGGUUUACAGGGAUAAUCAGACAGACUAUUUGAAAUCUAUCAGGAUGAUGAUGAUUUCUGUCAGGCCUGAUGGGUCUCAGCUCAUGAAUAGCAUGGGGGUUGUGGGAUCAGCUCCCUGGGACAGGGCAGGCCUGGAGGGGUCACCUGUAAAAAGUUGGUAAGCAGGGGCAUUGUGACCAGGCUUCCUCUUCCAUGUCAAUGGAGUCUGGAGGCAGAGUUGGAAUCCAGCUCUGCACCUUUUUGCUGUGCACCCUCAGGCGGGUCAGCAACCUCUCUGAACACACACCCAGCCUACAAAAUAGAAGAAAAACGCUAUAAGGUGGUUUUUGGCAGGGGAGAGGACAUGGGAAGAGAUUGAAUAAAUUAGUUGUCCAUCCUAGCGUAGAGCCCAGAACAAGGCACUGAAAAGACUUUUUAAAUUUUUUUGUCCAACAACAUCUUGGACAGUUCUCAUUUAUAUCAACAUGCCUGGUCCUGAUUUUGUUGGUCAUCUGUGCAUGUCAUAUUUUAAACCAUGAAGCAUAAUAACCAACUAAGUAAGAAAGCCCUGGCAAAAAAUGCUGAGAGGCCUGGUGCAGUGGAUCACGCUUGUGAUCCCAGCACUUUUGGAAGCCGAGGUGGGCAGAUUGCUUGAGCCCAGGAGUUCGAGACCAGCCUGGACAACAUGGCAAAACCCCAUCUCUGCUAAAAGUACAAAAAGCAGCUGGAUGUGGUGGCACUCACCUGUAAUCCCAGGUACUCAAGAGACUAAGACACGAGAAUCACUUGAACCCAGGAGACACAGGGUGCAGUGAGCCUCCUGCACUCCAGCCUGGGUGACACAGUGAGACUCUGUCUCCCAAAAAAAAAAAAAA
Molecule: small RNA, 5582 nt
Filed under: Pan troglodytes (chimpanzee)
Lineage: Eukaryota; Metazoa; Chordata; Mammalia; Primates; Hominidae
Description: retained intron
Source: RNAcentral